This 439-nucleotide ribosomal RNA is filed under the name uncultured bacterium. RNAcentral's name for it is "partial 16S ribosomal RNA". It matches the Rfam family "Bacterial small subunit ribosomal RNA", at positions 339 to 795 of the family's 1533-position model. The record is from RNAcentral.
CUACGGGACGCUGCAGUGGGGAAUAUUGCACAAUGGAGGAAACUCUGAUGCAGCAACGCCGCGUGGAGGAUGACACUUUUCGGAGCGUAAACUCCUUUUAUAUAGGAAGAAGAUGACGGUACUAUAUGAAUAAGCGCCGGCUAACUCCGUGCCAGCAGCCGCGGUAAUACGGAGUGCGCAAGCGUUACUCGGAAUCACUGGGCGUAAAGAGCGUGUAGGCGGAUUAAAAAGUCAGAAGUGAAAUCCUAUAGCUUAACUAUAGAACUGCUUCUGAAACUCUUAAUCUAGAAUAUGGGAGAGGUAGAUGGAAUUUCUGGUGUAGGGGUAAAAUCCGUAGAGAUUAGAAGGAAUACCGAUUGCGAAGGCGAUCUACUAGAACAUUAUUGACGCUGAGACGCGAAAGCGUGGGGAGCAAACAGGAUUAGAUACCCGAGUAGUC